ACGUAGGGUGCGAGCGUUGUCCGGAAUUAUUGGGCGUAAAGGGCUCGUAGGCGGUUUGUCGCGUCGGGAGUGAAAUCCACUGGCUUAACUGGUGGCUUGCUUUCGAUACGGGCAGACUGGAGGUAUGCAGGGGAGGACGGAAUUCCUGGUGUAGCGGUGAAAUGCGCAGAUAUCAGGAGGAACACCGAUGGCGAAGGCAGGUCUCUGGGCCACUACUGACGCUGAGAAGCGAAAGCAUGGGGAGCGAACAGGA
This 253-nucleotide ribosomal RNA is filed under the name uncultured prokaryote. RNAcentral's name for it is "partial 16S ribosomal RNA". It matches the Rfam family "Bacterial small subunit ribosomal RNA", at positions 525 to 777 of the family's 1533-position model. The record is from RNAcentral.